RNAcentral lists this ribosomal RNA (477 nucleotides) under uncultured bacterium. Its description in RNAcentral is "bacterial SSU rRNA". It matches the Rfam family "Bacterial small subunit ribosomal RNA", at positions 28 to 505 of the family's 1533-position model. The record is from RNAcentral.
GAUGAACGCUGGCGGCACGCCUAAUACAUGCAAGUCGAACGGACCUCGUAACUAUGACGCUUCGGUUGAUUAGUUGCAUUUGGUUAGUGGCAAACGGGUGAGGAAUACAUAGGUAAUCUACCCCUAAGUCUGGGAUAACAUUUCGAAAGGAAUGCUAAUACCGGAUAUACUCUUUGAUCAUAUGAUUGUAAGAGGAAAGGUUUACUGCUUAGGGAGGGGCCUAUGUCCGAUUAGCUAGUUGGUAAGGUAAUGGCUUACCAAGGCUUCGAUCGGUAGUUGGUCUGAGAGGACGAUCAGCCACACUGGGACUGAGACACGGCCCAGACUCCUACGGGAGGCAGCAGUAGGGAAUAUUGCGCAAUGGACGAAAGUCUGACGCAGCGAUGCCGCGUGAGUGACGAAGCCUUUCGGGGUGUAAAGCUCUGUCAAGAGGGAAGAUUAUGACGGUACCUCUAAAGGAAGCAACGGCUAAUUACG